CCCUCCUCGGCGUGGCACUCGCCCUGGCUCUCUGUCCAAGUCCUCGCGUGCGUGCCUCCGCUGCAGCCGUGGCAGCUCUGCACGAGGCUCUUCCCGUGUCCAGGUCAUGCGUUUCCCCAGCUGCACAGUCCGUGUUCCGUUCCCAACACGAGAGCGGGUGUCGUGCAUGCCACCUGCCGACGUCUGCAGCGCGCUGGGCCCCCGUGCGGCUGCAGUGCAUAGACGGUGUAAAGCAGGAUCUCACGGUUUUGAAUUCGGGCUCUCCCAGGGACCAGGAGCAGGAGAAAGCAGCCGAGAGCGAGGCGGGCAGAGCAGGCGCAGCGCCGUCUCUGGCCCUCAGCAUCUUCUACGCCGGCAGAAAGGCCUAUUUGCUGCUUUGUUUGUUUGUUUCUGUUAGUUAUAAAGAAUGUCCCUUUUCUCACCGUACUUUACAAAUAGACUCAAGUUGCUGGCUGGGAGUUUCAGGGAUUUUCAGUCCUUUCUGCUACGUGGGAAGAAAUUGGGGUUUGGGGGAGGAGUGGUAUUGUUAAAAAAGCCGCCUGCGUUUCCGCACUGUCCGUGCUGACUUGCCGGGUCUCGUGUCUGGACAGCAGACCGCAGCGGGGCCGGGAAGGGCGACCUGCAGUCCACGUUGCUGGAAGGGCACGGCUCGGCCCCACCCGACCUGGACCUCUCCGCCAUCAACGAGAAAAGUGCAGUCAAAAAGACUCCACAAUUAGAAAAAACAUCAGAGAAAACGGCAUCGACGUCAUUUUCUGCCCCUCGGAAAAAGAGCCCGACCCGGUCCGAAGAGAUGGAGAUGAUGGAGUCGCAGACGCUGCUGCUGACUCUGCUGGCGGUCAAGGUGAGAGCAGCCCUUGGUCGCGUGUGCCGGGUGCCAUGCGGUCUCGAUGACCCGGGGAGGGAGUCCCCUCCAGCCUGAGCUUUCGUUUCCUGUUUAACAGAUGGAAAAGGGUCUUGCUCGGUUCGAAGAAGAGGCCGAAAAACACUUAUUAAAACUGUGCAAAGAGAAGGAGGAGCUGCAGAGAAAGACCCACGAGCUGCGGCGCAGACUUCUCCUCUGUCAGAAGAAGCGGGAGCUGGAGGAGGCGCUUGACGCCCAGACGCCCUGCAGUCUGAAUUGGAGACCACUCAGAAGCUCCUGGAAGAUCUCGGCAUGGGCACUUCAGAAGAAAACGUGCAGGUGCUGGACCUACUGGGCGAACUCAAGGACGUGCCGUGAAAAAGACCUUGAGCUCCGAAGUAUCUCAGAAA
This 1254-nucleotide long non-coding RNA is filed under the name Microcebus murinus (gray mouse lemur). RNAcentral describes it as "lncRNA (ENSMICG00000048571.1)". Lineage: Eukaryota; Metazoa; Chordata; Mammalia; Primates; Cheirogaleidae. The record is from RNAcentral.